Non-coding RNA from Pelobates cultripes (western spadefoot toad), 294 nucleotides. The record is from the annotation of a GenBank genome assembly. Lineage: Eukaryota; Metazoa; Chordata; Amphibia; Anura; Pelobatidae.
GGUGAAUUGUUUACAGUAUGUGGAGCGGUAAAUGCAGGGUGCGGGAUCUUUCGCCUCUCCAUAACCGCUAUCUUCAACAAAGAAUGCUCUUGGUAGGGAGAGUGGUACUGUCUGAAAAAGGUAUAGCAACCGUGGCAGGACAUUCAUCUUGAGGACUGCUAUGUGUCCAAACCAUGAGAUAUGUGGGUAUGACCACCGGUUAAGGUCUUCGAAACCGUUCCGUAGUAGGGGCAGGAACUUAGCGCGGUAGAGAUCAGUUGGGUCCGCCGUCACCCAGGUACCCAAAUAUUAAAU